RNAcentral lists this long non-coding RNA (634 nucleotides) under Lathyrus oleraceus (garden pea). Its description in RNAcentral is "Pisum sativum (pea) long non-coding RNA (PSAT_LNC011296)". Lineage: Eukaryota; Viridiplantae; Streptophyta; Magnoliopsida; Fabales; Fabaceae. The record is from RNAcentral.
CAGUAAAAGAAAUCAAUGAUAGAAAUUUCACAAAACACUGAUAAACUAUCUAAUAACCAGUAAAAGAAAUUUGACAAAACACUCCAUUUUGAGCACUAACAUCUAAUAACCAGUAAAAGAAAAAAGACAUACACUAAAGGUCUUAAAAUCAUUACAAAAUGAAUAAACUAUCUACAAAUAUUUUCAAAGUCAAGCCACGUAUCCAUUUUUUUUUACACUGUAUGCAAUUUGCAAAUCAAAUUAGUGAUAUAAAUAAUAUUAAUAAUGCAAUAAUGACUAAUAAUAAGACUAAUAAAAAGAAAUAGUCAAAGAAGAUACCAAAUCUCUAACUUCACCUUAAAUGUCACCGAGAAGGAAAAGUCUCACACUCCACUCCCUUAUUGUGAUUUACAACAGUCGAAUUUGAUUAUUAUGGUGGUGAAUGAAAAAGAUGAUAGUGUAAACGAAAAUGAUUUAAGUAUUGUUCUGUGAGAGAAAAGUAGGGGAAAGAAAAUUUUAAGAUGAGUGUUUUGUGGCCAUGAAGAAGAGCAGUGAAACUUAUCUUAACAUUUCAUUUUUAAUCAUGAGUUUUUUUCUUUUUUUUGUACUUCAAUGGUCUGUUAUUUGAGAGUUGAUGAUGGAUGUGACAGCAAAA